This 407-nucleotide ribosomal RNA is filed under the name uncultured bacterium. RNAcentral describes it as "partial 16S ribosomal RNA". It matches the Rfam family "Bacterial small subunit ribosomal RNA", at positions 30 to 526 of the family's 1533-position model. The record is from RNAcentral.
AUUGAACGCUGGCGGCAGGCCUAACACAUGCAAGUCGAGCGGAGCGGCGGACGGGUGAGUAAUGCCUAGGAAUCUGCCUGGUAGUGGGGGAUAACGUCCGGAAACGGGCGCUAAUACCGCAUACUAUCAGAUGAGCCUAGGUCGGAUUAGCUAGUUGGUGGGGUAAAGGCCUACCAAAGCGACGAUCCGUAACUGGUCUGAGAGGAUGAUCAGUCACACGGGAACUGAGACACGGUCCAGCUUACUACGGGAGGCAGAGGUGGGGUAUGUUGGGCCAUGGGCGGACGCCUGAUGCAACGACGCCGCGUGAGGGAUGACGACCUUCGGGUUGUGAACACCUUUCGCCAUCGACGCGGUAGAUGGAGAAGAAGCACCGGCUAACUACGUGGCAGCAGCCGCGGUAAUUC